CCUACGGGAGGCAGCAGUGGGGAAUAGUGCACAAUGGGGGAAACCCUGAUGCAGCGACGCCGCGUGAGUGAAGAAGUAUUUCGGUAUGUAAAGCUCUAUCAGCAGGGAAGAAAAUGACGGUACCUGAGUAAGAAGCCCCGGCUAACUACGUGCCAGCAGCCGCGGUAAUACGUAGGGGGCAAGCGUUAUCCGGAUUUACUGGGUGUAAAGGGAGCGUAGACGGCAGGACAAGUCUGGAGGGAAAUGCCGGGGCUUAACCCCGGAACUGCUUUGGAAACUGUGCAGCUAGAGUGCAGGAGAGGUAAGUGGAAUUCCUAGUGUAGCGGUGAAAUGCGUAGAUAUUAGGAGGAACCCCAGUGGCGAAGGCGGCUUACUGGACUGUAACUGACGUUGAGGCUCGAAAGCGUGGGGAGCAAACAGGAUUAGCUACCCGGGUAGUC
This 440-nucleotide ribosomal RNA is filed under the name uncultured bacterium. RNAcentral's name for it is "partial 16S ribosomal RNA". It matches the Rfam family "Bacterial small subunit ribosomal RNA", at positions 338 to 795 of the family's 1533-position model. The record is from RNAcentral.